Molecule: long non-coding RNA, 4084 nt
Filed under: Sus scrofa (pig)
Lineage: Eukaryota; Metazoa; Chordata; Mammalia; Artiodactyla; Suidae
Description: lncRNA (ENSSSCG00050019937.1)
Source: RNAcentral
AGUGCCCUCGGGAUUUACUGCGCGUACCCUGCUCUCCGACUGUGUGGAGGUGUUAGUGGCCUGUGGAGCGCGGUGGAUGUGGGCAGCAAGCUCCGAGGAGCCCGGUUGACCUGUCGCUCAAGUAAAGCCGGCAGAAAUCCCCGAGGAGCUUUGGAAACCUGCGGCUUAGGUGGAGCCGGCGUCGCCUGGCCCGCGAGCGUGAGCGAGUUUCCUAGUAGCUGGCGCCUUGGGGACUGAAUCAACGACUCCUCCGCUUUUUAAGUUUUUUUAGGGUGUGGAUAAAGCCCGGACUCAGCCUUAGCUUCCAAAGCUGCAGAAACAGGACACCUUUAACAGCUGACUCUUGUAUCAUCAUCCUUACCCCAUUGUCAUCUGUUUUUCAAAAUGUAAUUUGAACCAGCUGUAUCAAAUCUACCUGUGGCAGUUGUUCAAAAUGCAGGUCCCUGAGCCCUGCCCCGGCAUGCCUCCUAAAGCCCAAGAUUUUAACCCCCACUAGAGUUUGAAAUUAAACCCUAUACUACACAGCAGAGAAGAACCUGGGAAGAGGCUCAGUGCUCUAGGAAAUAUAAUUCCUGAGCCUUUGGUAGUAUCUUGACCUGGACCAGCAAAACUGACAGGGAGCUAGCACCGCAGAAGUACUGUGCUUGUUGAUACCGAAGACUUUGACAGUGGAGACAUAGCUAUCCUGAUGACUCGGGCACAUUGAGUCAUAGCCCAGCAGAUUUACUGCAUUAUUAAGUAUGAGCUAAUAUGCUAUGUGAAGCAAAGAAGCCCUGUAUUUACUGCCACGCCGAGUUGAUACUCUCCUCCCUGGUAAUUACUCAAAUCAGCAGCUAGGUUUUUGGUAGGUUAUUGCUCAGACUCUUUGACCCUUCCCAAAGUCAUAAAUAUGAAUAGUACCUGGGUUUCUCGACUUGAAUCCCAGUUUAUAUGCCAGCUGAGAAAAGAAUAAAUGUUUUAGAAGCAUGCGGUGAUCCAAAUUGAAGGAAGUUUGGACUAUGGUUUUGUAAGACUAGUUUUUCCUUCAGACACUAUUAGAUUGCUUUUGUAGAAGAAGCCAACAGAGGAGAGAUCCAUGUGUAUGGACAGAGCUAGAGUGAUUGGUGCUUCAACAGCAGUCUCUUCAACUUUGCUUGAGUGUGGAGGCCACACAGAUCACAAACUCCAUUGGCUGCAAGAUACCUUUGCUCAAAAGGAGCUAACCACUGCACUGUUCCCCAGCAUAUCAAAGCUAAGCUGAAUUGUAUGCUACUAACGAUUUGGAAAGAUGAAAGAGAUUAACAGCACAAAGAUGCCAAUAAUUUUAAAUAUGAUCUUUAAAAAAAACUGCAUUCUUAAAAUGAGAGAGAUACACUCAAGGAAGAAGCAACUGCUCCAUACAUUAGCAUGUCCAAAAAUGAUAAUUAGACCUGCUGAGCUAUCUUUGCAACCAGAGAGGAACCAGCUUGAAAACAAAGCCGACACAAUGAGACGACAGCAGAAAAUGAAAAGAACUUGAGUCUUCAAUGAUGAUAAUGAAGUGAUGGACUAAACCUGGAGGGAGAAUACCUACUAUGGGCUUCCUGUCAUCUAAGGCUGCAUGGGAGGCUAUGGAUCAAAUCGGAGCUGCAGCUAAUGGCCUGGCCACAGCCAUAGCUGUAGCCACAGCCACACCAAUGCGGAAUCUGAGCCACAUCUGUGACCUACACCACAGCUCACGGCAACACUGAAUACUUAACCCACUGAGGGGGGCCAAGGAUUAAACCCGCAUCCUCAUGGAUACUAGUCAGGUUUGUUACCAGUGAGACACAACAGGAACUCCGCAUUCUUUUUUCUUUUUUCCUUUCUGUGGCAGUGAUUUCCACCACUCUAUCUUCCAGCUUACUUAUUUGUUCUUCUGCCUCAGUUAUUCUAAUAUCAAUUCUGUUUAGAGUAUUUUUCAUAUCAGUCAUUGUAUUAUUUAUCUUUAUUCUUUAAAUCUUCUAGCUCUUUGUUAAGAAUUUCUUGUAACUUCUCAAUAUGUGUCUUUUUCUGAGAUCUUGGAUCAUCCUUACUAUCAUUACUCUGAAUUCUUUUUCAGUUAUAUUGCCUAUCUCUUCUUCAUUUAGUUGUUUUUGUGUGUUCAUUCAUCUGAAACAUAUUUUUCUGUUUUCUCAUUUAGUCUAACUUUCUGGGCUUGUGGUCUCCUUUCUACAUGUUGCAGGAUUGUAGUUCCUCUUGUUUCUGGUGUCUGCCCCUCUGCUGGGUAAGUUUGGUCCAGGGGCUUGUGCAGGCUUUCUGGUGGGAGGGACUGGCAUUUGUCCACUGGUGGGUGGAGCUGAGUCUUGUUCUUCUGGUUGUCAGGGCCAUAUUAAGGGGUGUGUUUAGAGGUGGCUGUGAGCUCAGGAUGACUUUAGACAGCCUAUCUGGUUUUUAUAUUUUUUGGUAUGAGGGCUGGGGAUGGGGGGUUGUUUGAUUUUUAGUGGAUUUUUUUUUUUUUUUUUUUUUUUGGCUGUGCCCAUGGCAUGCAGAAGUUUCUGGGCCAGGAAUUGAACCCAAGCCACAGCAGUGACAAUGCUGGAUCCUUAACCCACUGUUCUAGGAAAUUCCACGAGGGCUAUUUUUAAUAUGGAUUGUUGCCACCUCUUUCCUCAAUGUAUGCUGGCUGUUAUCCCCUUGAUAGAAGGUAUGAAUGAUGUUUUGGUGACCAGAGCCUAUACUGGGUGUUUAUUGGAGCUGUGUUUUUGUUCUGCCCUUUAAGGGGUAGUGUCUACUCUCUAGUCGUUGGAGUAGGAGCCCCCAGAUCUGUUUCUCAACUGUAUUUCUGAUCUGUGGCCUGAGGUAGGUGGGAUUUGAAUGCUCCUACUAGGAGAGGAGCCCCUGAGUAUUCCUUCAUUGGAGCUUUUUACCUGUGAGUGUUCUCUUGUAUGUCAUCUUUCACCUGUUGUGUGGGUUCACAAAGAGACUAUUGUUGGCACUGCUCUUGGCCCCAUCUUAACUGGGCGUAUGCUGGCAAUUGGCCCUGGUGUCUCUCAGGUGUUUUCACCAGUCCACCAGUACAUAUCCACUGAGGUCAGGUCCAAGGACUGCAGUAGUCAUGCACCUGGGCCCACUGUGGGAACUGUGGAGGCAGCUCAGACUCUGGCCUGGUCCAAUUCCUGUAUGUACAUUCCCACAAAGCCCAAAGCUGCUAAAGCCAGACCUAUCUUAGCUGCAGGAACAUUUGUUGUCCAUUCAGAUGUUCCACAGGUGCUAAAUUUACAAAGCCGGCAGCAGAGGUGAAAAUCUGUGGUUCUCACAGUCAGGAGGAGAGAUUUCAGCCUUUUCCUUAGCCAUAGGGCCCCUGUGGUUUCAGCCCCACCUCUGCAUGUGGGCAACCCACUGGAGACUGCCCCUGAGUCAGUAGGAGCACAGGAGCUUAUCCAGGAAGGAGUUGGGUGGGGCAGUGAUUCAGGCACACAGCGCACUCUGAGAGAGGAGGGUGGGGUGGCAUCUAGGUGCAUGAACCUGCCCAGAUGGAAGGCAGGCCAGGUAGUAAUCAGAUAUGAGGGCUCACUCCAGCAGAAGCUGGGUGGGACAGUGUUCUGGGCAAGCAGACCAGCCCAGGCAGGAGCCUCUCUCAGGGCCUGCAGAGGCAGGGGUCUGCAUGGAGAAAGAGGCUACAGUGGUGGCCCUGCCCGUCACGCACCACUUAACUAUGACACUUAGCCUCAGCCACUUGAGCCUCUUACCCAAAAACAUUCCCAGUUGCAGUGCUUUGCCCUCCAGCCAACUGCAGUUCUCUGCCCUGUCUGUUCUCUAAACCUUAUGUUCUAGCACCCAGCCUCCACCCUUAUCAGCGGUCACAUGUCUCAGGCUGGGGCAAAUAGGGUGAUGGCACAGAACAUCUGUGUAGUUCUCAUUCUGUCCUGCCAGCCACAUACCAGCUUCUCUGUUCUCCUCUGGGCCACCAAAGCUCCUUUUCUGUUCCAGCCAACCUCCCUGCUGGUGAGGGGAUUUCCCGGGGUGUGAGAACUUCUCUUCCCCUUCAGCUUCCUUCUGGGGGGAACAGGUCCCAAUCUGCUUCCACUUCUCUCUCUCUCUCUUUUUUUUUUCCUUCCCUUCAUCAGUUACAUGGAGAUCCCUC